RNAcentral lists this ribosomal RNA (253 nucleotides) under uncultured bacterium. Its description in RNAcentral is "partial 16S ribosomal RNA". It matches the Rfam family "Bacterial small subunit ribosomal RNA", at positions 524 to 776 of the family's 1533-position model. The record is from RNAcentral.
UACGUAGGGGGCAAGCGUUGUCCGGAUUUACUGGGCGUAAAGAGCGCGCAGGCGGUCGAUCAAGUCGAGUGUGAAAGCCCCCGGCUCAACUGGGGAGGGUCAUUCGAUACUGAUCGACUCGAAGGCAGGAGAGGGUAGUGGAAUUCCUGGUGUAGCGGUGAAAUGCGCAGAUAUCAGGAAGAACACCCGUGGCGAAAGCGGCUCUCUGGAACGGUACUGACGCUGAGACGCGAAAGCGUGGGGAGCGAACAGG